ACUUCUUAGUGGCGAACGGGUGAGUAACGCGUGGGCACCUGCCCUCUAGAUGGGGACAACAUUCCGAAAGGGGUGCUAAUACCGAAUGUGCUCGCAUGAGGAAAGAUGGCCUUUUUAAAGCUAUCGCUAGAGGAUGGGCCUGCGUCUGAUUAGCUAGUUGGUGGGGUAACGGCCUACCAAGGCGAUGAUCAGUAGCCGGUCUGAGAGGAUGAACGGCCACAUUGGGACUGAGACACGGCCCAGACUCCUACGGGAGGCAGCAGUGGGGAAUCUUCCGCAAUGGGCGAAAGCCUGACGGAGCAAUGCCGCGUGAGUGAUGAAGGAAUUCGUUCCGUAAAGCUCUUUUGUUUAUGACGAAGUGCAGGUUGUGAAUAAUGACUUGUAAUGACGGUAGUAAACGAAUAAGCCACGGCUAACUACGUGCCAGCAGCCGCGGUAAUACGUAGGUGGCGAGCGUUGUCCGGAAUUAUUGGGCGUAAAGAGCAUGUAGGCGGUUUUUUAAGUCUGGAGUGAAAAUGCGGGGCUCAACCCCGUAUGGCUCUGGAUACUGGAAGACUUGAGUGCAGGAGAGGAAAGGGGAAUUCCCAGUGUAGCGGUGAAAUGCGU
This 606-nucleotide ribosomal RNA is filed under the name uncultured bacterium. RNAcentral describes it as "bacterial SSU rRNA". It matches the Rfam family "Bacterial small subunit ribosomal RNA", at positions 87 to 691 of the family's 1533-position model. The record is from RNAcentral.